RNAcentral lists this ribosomal RNA (497 nucleotides) under uncultured bacterium. RNAcentral describes it as "bacterial SSU rRNA". It matches the Rfam family "Bacterial small subunit ribosomal RNA", at positions 28 to 518 of the family's 1533-position model. The record is from RNAcentral.
GAUGAACGCUAGCUACAGGCUUAACACAUGCAAGUCGAGGGGCAGCACGGAGAUAGCUUGCUAUCUUGGGUGGCGACCGGCGCACGGGUGAGUAACGCGUAUCCAACCUGCCCAUUACUCAGGGAUAGCCUUGCGAAAGUAAGAUUAAUACCUGAUGUUGUUAAAAACCCGCAUGAGUUUUUAACCAAAGAUUUAUUGGUAAUGGAUGGGGAUGCGUGACAUUAGGUAGUAGGUGAGGUAACGGCUCACCUAGCCGACGAUGUCUAGGGGUUCUGAGAGGAAGGUCCCCCACACUGGAACUGAGACACGGUCCAGACUCCUACGGGAGGCAGCAGUGAGGAAUAUUGGUCAAUGGACGAGAGUCUGAACCAGCCAAGUAGCGUGCAGGAUGACGGCCCUCUGGGUUGUAAACUGCUUUUAGUGGGAAUAAAAGAGGACGUGUCCCUAAUUGUAUGUACCAUCAGAAAAGGACCGGCUAAUUCCGUGCCAGCAGCCGC